GCUGGUGUGGCUCAGCGGGUAGAGCAUCAGCCCUCAGACUGAAGGGACACCCGGGUUCGAUUCCGGUCAAGGGCA
RNAcentral lists this transfer RNA (75 nucleotides) under Myotis brandtii (Brandt's bat). It matches the Rfam family "tRNA". From Rfam's summary of the family: Transfer RNA (tRNA) molecules are approximately 80 nucleotides in length. Their secondary structure includes four short double-helical elements and three loops (D, anti-codon, and T loops). Further hydrogen bonds mediate the characteristic L-shaped molecular structure. tRNAs have two regions of fundamental functional importance: the anti-codon, which is responsible for specific mRNA codon recognition, and the 3' end, to which the tRNAs corresponding amino acid is attached (by aminoacyl-tRNA synthetases). tRNAs cope with the degeneracy of the genetic code in two manners: having more than one tRNA (with a specific anti-codon) for a particular amino acid; and 'wobble' base-pairing, i.e. permitting non-standard base-pairing at the 3rd anti-codon position. Lineage: Eukaryota; Metazoa; Chordata; Mammalia; Chiroptera; Vespertilionidae. The record is from Rfam by way of RNAcentral.